GGGACAGUGAGUGACAACGUCAGCUUUACACCAUGUCUCCUGCAGAAUGAUGACCUCUCUGUAGCCUGUGGGACAGUGAGUGACAACGUCAGCUUUACACCAUGUCUCCUGCAGAAUGAUGACGUCAACAUCUUUAAGAUGUGUGUUAAACUCUUCAGUCUAGAGGUUGGUGAGUUUAGGCCCUGAAUGUUCCACAUGCUAACUAAUAGGUUGGUGAGUUUAGGCCCUGAAUGUUCCACAUGCUAACUGAUAGGUUGGUGAGUUUAGGCCCUGAAUGUUCCACAUGCUAACUGAUAGGUUGAUGAGUUUAGGCCCUGAAUGUUCCACAUGCUGACUGAUAGGUUGAUGAGUUUAGGCCCUGAAUGUUCCACAUGCUGACUGAUAGUGAUUUCAUGUUGCAGAAAGAAAGAAUAGCAGUCAGAAAUACAGUAACUAAUAACUAAUAAGUAGAGAGAUAAACAGGAUAACAGCUAACAACAACAUCUGUUAUAUACACUACCGUUCAAAAGUUUGGGGUCACUUUGAAAGAAAAGCACAUUUUUUGUCCAUUUAAAAUAACAUCAAAUUGAUCAGAAAUACAGUGUAGACAUCGUUAAUGUUGUAAAUGACUGUUGUAGCUGGAAACGGCAUAUUUUUUAUGGGAAUAUCUACAUAGGCGUACAGAGGCCCAUUAUCAGCAACCAUCACUCCUGUGUUCCAUUGGCAUGUUGUGUUAGCUAAUCCAAGUUUAUAAUUUUAAAAGGCUAAUUGAUGUUUACAAAACCCUUUUGCAAUUUUGUCAGCACAGCCGAAUACUGCUGUUCUGGUUAAAGAAGCAAUACAACUGUCAUUCUUUACACUAGUUGAGUAUCUGGAGCAUCAGCAUUUGAGGGUUCGAUUACAGGCUCAAAAUGGCCAGAAACAAAGACCUUUCUUCUGAAACUCGUCAGUCUAUUCUUGUUCUGAGAAAUGAGGCUAUUCCAUGCGAGAAAUGGCCAAGAAACUGAGGAUCUCGUACAACGUUGUGUACUACUCCCUUCACAGAACAGCACAAACGGGCUCUAACCAGAAUAGAAAGAGGAGUGGGAGGCCCCGGUGCACAACUGAGCAAGAGGACAAGUACAUUAGUGUUUAGUUUGAGAAACAGAUGCCUCACAAGUCCUCAACUGGCAGCUUCAUUAAAUAGUACCCGUAAAACACCAGCCUCAAUGCCAACAGUGAAGAGGCGACUCCGGGAUACUCACUCAGUUUUGUGUUGGAUGGUAUUUCCAGGUUUCUUUUGCAGGUUUUGGUUUGUCUUACAAAGCCCUACUGCCUCUUCUCUGGCUCUCUCGAUCAGGACAGAAUGCUACGGUAGGUUUAGCAUUAGAGUGCUCUCUCGAUCAGGACAGAAUGCUACGGUAGGUUUAGCAUUAGAGUGCUCUCUCGAUGAGGACAGAAUGCUACGGUGGGCUAUAUCCUGCCUGGUUAGCCCUGUCCGGGGGUAUCGUCGGACUGGGUCACAGUGUCCCUCAACCCCCCCCCCUGUCUCAGACUCCAGUACCUAUGCUGCAAUAUGUGCCGGGUGGUUAGGGUCAGUCUGUCCUAUCUGGUGUAAUUCUCCCGUCUUAUCUGGUGUCCCGUGUGAACAUAAGUAUUCUCUCUCUCUCUCCUCUUUCUCUUAUCUCUCAUUGGCAUGCUGACUACAGAAAUGCCCACUUGAGCUGUUGCCAGGGAAUGUAAUGUUAAUUUCUCUACCAUAAGCCGCCUUCAAUGUCAUUUUAGAGAAUUUGGCAGUACGUCAAACCGGACUCACAACCGCAGAACACGUGAAACCACGCCAGCCCAGGACCUCCCCAUCCAGCUUCUUCACCUGUGGGAUCGUCUGAGACCAGCCACCGGGACAGCUGAUCAAACUGUGGGUUUGCACAACCCAAGAACUUCUCCUCAAACUAUCAGAAACAGUCUCAGGGAAGCUCAUCUGCGUGCUCAUCGUCCUCACCAGGGUCGUGACCUGACUGCAGUUCGACGUCGUAACAGACUUCAGUGGGGAAAUGCUCACCUUUGAUGGCCCCUGGCAACCUGGAUAAGUAUGCUCUUCACGGAUGAAUCCCGUUAUCAGCCGGUCAGAUGGCAUACAGCGUAAGAAUACGCUACGGACAAGUCUGUACACAAUUCCUGGAAGCUGAAAAUGUCCCAGUUCCUCCAUGGCCUGUAUACUUAACAGACGUGUCACCCAUUGAGCAUCGUUGUGUAUGACAGCGUGUUCCAGCCAUUGAAGAGGAGUGGGACAACAUUUCACAGGCCACAACCAACAGCCUGAUUAACUCUAUGCAAAGGAGAUGUGUCACGCUGCAUGAGGCAAAUUAUGGUCACACCAGAUACUGACUGGUAUCUGUGACCAACAGAUGCAUAUCUGUACUCCCAUGUGAAAUCCAUAAAUUAGGGCCUAAUGAAUUUAUUCAAAUUGACAAAUGGAAACUGUAACUCAGUAAAAUAUCUGAAAAUAUUGUUCCAUCUAUAUUUCUGUUCAGUGUAAUAAAAACAUGUACGUUGAAUAGUCAAUGAGUAUUCAACCCCUUCGUUGUGGAAAACAAGCCUAGUUCAGGAGUAAACAAAUGCUUAACAAGUAAUAAUUUGUAUGGAAAGUUUCUAACAUGCUUCUUGUGUAUAAUGACUCCUCAUCUCUGUACCUAACCCUUCUGUAUAAUGAUGACUCCUAAUCUCUGUACCCCACACAUACAAUUAUCUGGAAGGUCCCUCAUUCCAGCAGUGAAUUUCAAAACACAGAUUCAACCACAAAGACCAGGGAGGUUUUCCAAUGCCUCGUAAAGAAGGGCACCUAUUUGUGAAUGGGUAAAAACAUAUAUUUUUUUAAAGCAGACAUUGAAUAUCCCUUUGAGGCUAAGUUAUUAAUUACUUUGGAUGGUGUGUCACCCAGUCACUACAAAGAUACAGGCGUCCUUCCUAACUCAGUUGCCGGAGCUGAAGGAAACAGCUCAGAUAUUUCACCAUGUGGCCAAUGGUGACUUUAAAACAGCUACAAGGUUGAAAGGCUGUGAUAGGAGAAGACCGAGGAUGGAUCAACAACAGUGUAGUUACACCACAAUAGUAACCAAUAGUAACCUGAUUGACAGAGUGAAAACAAGGCACUAACGUAGUACUGCAAAAAAUGUGGCUAAGCAAUUCACAUUUUGUUCUGAAUACAAAAGUGCUACGUUUGGGGCAAAUCCAAGCUUUUUGUUUGGGGCAAAUCCAAGCUUUUUCCACAUUUUGUUACGUUACAGCCUAAUUCUAAAAUUGAUUAAAUCUACAUACAAUACCCCAUAACGGCAAAGUGAAAACAGGUUUAGACAUUUUUGCAAAUGUAUUAAAAACAAAAAUACCUUAUUUACAUAUGUAUUCAGACCCUUUGCUAUAAGAUUCGAAAUUAAGUUCAGGUGCAUCCAGUUUCCAUUCAUCAUCCUUGAGAUGUUUCUACAAGUUGAUUGGAUUUGGAAAGGCACACACCUGUCUAUAUAAGGUCCCACAGUUGACAUUGCAUGUCAGAGCAAAAACCAAGCCAUGAGGUCGAAGGAAUGGUCCGUAGAGCUCCGAGACAGGAUUGUGUCGAGGCACAGAUCUGGGGAAGGGUACAAAAAAAUGUCUACAGCAUUGAAGGUCCCCAAGAACAGUGGCCUCCAUCAUUCGUAAAUGGAAGAAGUUUGGAACCACCAAGACUCUUCCUAGAGCUGGUCACCCUGUCAAACUGAGCAGAGAAGGGCCUUGGUCAGGAAGGUGACCAAGAACCCGAUGGUCACUCUGACAGCUCUAGAGUUCCUCUGUGGAGAUGGGAGAACGUUCCAGAAGGACAAUCAUCUCUGCAGCACUCCACCAAUCAGGCCUUUACGGGAGAGAGGCCAGACAGAAGUCACUUCUCAGUAAAAGGCACAUGGCAGCCUGCUUGGAGUUUGGGGCGAAGGUUCACCUUCCAACAGGACAGCGAUCCUAAGCACACAGCCAAGACAACGCAGAAGUGGCUUCGGGACAAGUCUGAAUCCUUGAGUGGCCCAGCCAGAGCUCGGACUUGAACCCCGAUCAAACAUCUCUGGAGAGACCUGAAAAUAGCUGUGUAGUGACGCUCCCCAUCCAACCUGACAGAGCUUGAGAGGUUCUGUAGAGAAGAAUGGGUUAAACUCCACAAAUACAGGUGUGCUAAGCUUGUAGCAUCAUACCCAAGAAGACUCGAGGCUGUAAAUGCUGCCAAAGGUGCUUCAACAAAGUACUGAGUAAAGGGUCUGAAUACUUAUGUAAAUGUGAUAUGUCAGUAUAAAAAAAGAAAACGUUUUCGCUUUGUCAUUAUGGUGUAUUGUGAUGUCAUUAUGGUGUAUUGUGAUGUCAUUAUGGUGUAAUUGUGAUGUCAUUAUGGUGUAUUGUGAUGUCAUUAUGGUGUAUUGUGAUGUCAUUAUGGUGUAAUUGUGAUGUCAUUAUGGUGUAUUGUGUUGUCAUUAUGGUGUAUUGUGUGUAGAUUGAUGAGGUAAAAAAACUAUGUAAUCCAUUUUAGAAUAAUGCUGUAAAGUAACAAGAUAUGGAAAAAGUCAAGGGGUCUGAAUACUUUCCGAAUGCACUCUAGUGGUAGCUGUGAGAUGAAUUCACAUUUCAGCAGAACAUUAGCCUAAAACACAAGGCCAAAUCUACACUGGAGUUGCUUACCAAGAAGACAGUGGUGGAGUUACAGUUUUGACUUAAAUCUGCUUGAAAAUCUAGGGCAAGACCUGAAAAUUGUUGUCUAGCAAUGAUCAACAACCAACUUGACAGAGGUUGAAGAAUUUUGAAAAAAAUAAUGGGAAAAUAUUGCACAAUCAACGUGUGGAAAGCUCUUAGAGACUUACCUAGAUAAAUCUGUCAAAGGUGCUUUUACAAAGUAUUGACUGAGGGAUGUGAAUAGUUAAGUAAAUUAGAUAUUUCUGUACUUGAAGCACGGGAAUGGCAACAUCAUGUUGUGAGGGUGCUUUACUGCAGGAGGGACUGGUGCACUUCACAAAAUAGACAGCUUCACGAGGAAGGAAAACUAUGUGGAUGUAUUGAAGCAACAUCUCAAGACAUCAGUCAGGAAGUUAAAGCUUGGACGCAAAUGGGUCUUCCAAAUGGACAAUGAUCCCAUGCAUACUUCCAAAGUUGUGGCAAACUGGCUUAAGAACAACAAAGUCAAGGUAUUGGAGUGGCCAUCCCAAAGCCCUGACCUCAAUCCCAUUGAAAAUUUGUGGGCAGAACUGAAAAAGCGUGUGCGAGCAAGGAGGCCUACAAACCUGACUCAGUUAUACCAGCUCUGUCAGAAGGAAUGGGCCAAAGUUCACCCAACUUAUUGUGGGAAGCUUGUGGAAGGCUAACCUGAAACAUUUGACCAAAGUUUAACAAUUUAAAGGCAAUGCUAGCAAAUACUAACUGAGUGUAUGUAAACGUCUGACCCAAACGUCUGUAAACGUCUGGGAAUGUGAUGAAAUAAAUAAAAGCUGAAAUAAAUCAUUCUCUCUACUAUUAUUCUGACAUUUCACAUUCUUAAAAUGAAGUGGUGAUCCUAACUGAUCUAAGACAGGGAAUUUAUACUGGGAUUAAAUGUCAGGAAUUGUGAAAAACUGAGUUUAAAUGUAUUUGGCUGAGGUGUAUGUAAACUUCCGACUUCAACUGUAUUUAUGGGACUGUAUAGAAUGUAUCAACGUCAGCAGUUGAAAGAGAUAAAUUGCAUAAUUUCACAUUUUUUCAUCAAAUUACGAUAAAUAACUCUACAUUAAUAUUUACAGCCACACAACUGAUGUAUAAACUGUGGAAGACGUGUUCUAUCUGGAGUUAAUAAACUGGAAGACGUGUUCUAUCUGGAGUUAAUAAACUGGAAGACGUGUUCUAUCUGGAGUUAAUAAACUGGAAGACGUGUUCUAUCUGGAGUUAAUAAACUGGAAGAUGUGUUCUAUCUGGAGUUAAUAAACUGGAAGACGUGUUCUAUCUGGAGUUAAUAAACUGGAAGACGUGUUCUAUCUGGAGUUAAUAAACUGGAAGACGUGUUCUAUCUGGAGUUAAUAAACUGGAAGACGUGUUCUAUCUGUAGUUAAUAAACUGGAAGACGUGUUCUAUCUGGAGUUAAUAAACUGGAAGACGUGUUCUAUCUGGAGUUAAUAAACUGGAAGACG
Molecule: long non-coding RNA, 6122 nt
Organism: Oncorhynchus tshawytscha (Chinook salmon)
Lineage: Eukaryota; Metazoa; Chordata; Actinopteri; Salmoniformes; Salmonidae
Source: Ensembl